UCUGAUCUCCUUCUGGGUGCCACUGGCAAAAGCGUUUGAGGAAAACUAUCAGGCUUAUGAAAGAGGUUAAAGAGCUCCCAUGUCUAAUGUAACAAAAAUCCAAGAUGAUAAUAAGAAAAAAAAGAUUCUAAGAAAGUCGUGGGGACUUGUGAAGAGAGGUCGGCGAGCAGAUUAUAGGGAGCAAUGAGGAGAAACUGCUCAACCAGAGCUGCGAGGAAACCCCACAGUCUCCAGAACCACAACAAUGGUUCUCCCACAGGCCUGGAGACAAGUCCUGCCUGUUUUGGACCCUGCCUAGCUCUUCGACCUCACCUUUUCCUUUGUGGUGCAUUGUAGUAUUUUGGAGUUAUUUGUGGAACAGAAACCAAUGCAGUCAUCAUUACUGAGCUCGCACUUGUACUCCUCAGAUGUCUGUUUAUUCCUUCCUCUGUGUUCACAUUUGUGGAAUCGCCAUCUUUCUUGCUGGUGAUGUGUAACUGAAGGGAGAGAUGACGACGCAGAGCCAGCUGCCACUCUUCUUGGUGAAAUGACCUGUGUAUUGGGGGAUGGCCGCAAAGAGAGAAGAGCCUCUGGUGUUGCAUUUUGUAACCUGCCCCCCAUCCAUCCGGACCAAGCAUUGAAUUUUCUUUCUGAAGGCUCCCCCUCCCUCUUGCCAUUACCCAGUAGGGGCUUGGUGAUGGGAAGCUAAAUAGUCCUUUUGUGUUAGGCAGUUACUCUGUUUUUCCUAUCCACCCAGAGACCAGCGAUGUCCAGAUGAACUGCCACUUGUGGCAGGCGCUGGACUGGAGCUUAUGUUUUCUGUCUACUCCUCGCAUUCAGUGUAAAGUAUAAAGAAAAAAGUACACAACUAGAAAGCAUUUUUCCUGGGUCUGUGCAAACUGGCCUACCUUCUGGUUCUCCAUUGCUUUUUCACAGUGUUUGCGUUAGGUUCUGGAGUCCAUCGAAUUCCUUUUUAACUUCGUGGCCUCUCCAGCUUGGGGUUCAGGGGAAGGGAUGAGUAUCCGUGCUUGCUCAGCACUGAUCCUGACACUAUACCAAACCCCAUCGUGGAAUGUAUCCACCCUCAGUCUCUCCCCUUACAUUUUUCUUAUACUUCAGACAUGUCAUUUCUCAGGAAAACUUGACUCACAGAUUAAUAUGUAUUUUCUAGUACUUUUCCACAUGACCUGACACUUGGAAUUCAGUAAUAAUUCUUUCGAUAAGUACCCAUCUUUUUAGAUAUUAAGGUCCAUGAGAGCAAGGGAUGUGUCUGGUUUUCUCGGUGCAGCUUUUACGUAUGACAUCUUUCCUAAUGCUUUGACACUAGGUGAGACGUGAUGAACAUGCGUUCAAACAUAAAAUAAGGGAUGAAGGAACAAAGGAAAGAAAACUAGAUCUGUUUUUGUUAAAGUAAAAAUGUAAUGUAUAUUUACUCAAGUAAUCUACCUCUGAAUUAGUCACAUCUGUAAUAUAUAAAAAGCAUGGAACCACAGACUGGUUUCAUCCUGGAUGUUUAAUAGCAUUUGACCUUCUCAUUUUAUGAAUAUUGUGAUAUAGACCAAAAGUAGAUGAAUUUCCUGGAAAAGAAACAUAAGUUACAGCAUCAAAUAAAAAUGAAUUCUGUAUUAUCUACUGUGAAUGAAUA
Artibeus jamaicensis (Jamaican fruit-eating bat) is the source of this 1624-nucleotide long non-coding RNA. RefSeq lists it as uncharacterized. The record is from RefSeq and is a predicted model, not a curated record. Lineage: Eukaryota; Metazoa; Chordata; Mammalia; Chiroptera; Phyllostomidae. The transcript is spliced from 4 exons.